CCAUGGCGACCAGGCGCCUUGGGGUGGGGGAGACGCUGGGGGCCCUUAACGCGGCCCUGGGGCCAGGCGGUCCGGUGUGGAUCAAGGAGAAGCGCACCCGCCACCUGCGUUCCCGAGACUUUUUGGCACCGCAUCGCGCGCUGCAGGCGCGCUUCGAUGACGGCCAGGUGGGCGUGAGCCGGGAGGGGCCGUGCGGCCGGGAGAUGGGCCCCGGGCCGUGGCCCGCUUACACGCCCGUUCUCCCGCAGGUUCCGGAGCAUUUGCUCCAUGCCCUCGCCUGCCUGCAGGGCCCCGGUGUGGCCCCGGUGCUGCGCUGCGCGCCGACCCCCGCGGGUCUGUCUCUCCAACUGCAGCGGCCCGCUGUCUUCGAGCGCGUCCUCAGCGCCGUGGCCGCCUAUGCCACGCCCGCCUCGCCUGCCUCGCUGGGCCAGCGCGUCUUACUACACUGCCCAGCACUGCGCAGCUCCCCCUGCGCACUCCGCUUGAGCCAGCUGCGUACGGUGCUCGUGGCCGAUCAUCUGGCGCGAGCCCUGCGCGCUCACGGGGUGUGCGUGCGCCUAGUGCCAGCUGUGCGGGAUCCGCACAUGCUGACCUUCCUGCAGCAACUGCGGGUGGACUGGCCCGCUGCCUCGGAGAGAGCUUCCUCCCACACCCUGAGGAGCCACGCCCUUGAAGAACUUACCUCUGCUAAUGACGGGAGGACACUGUCCCCUGGCAUCCUAGGCAGACUGUGUCUGAAGGAGCUGGUGGAAGAACAGGGCCGCACAGCUGGCUAUGACCCCAACCUGGACAACUGUCUGGUGACGGAGGAUCUCCUCUCUGUGCUGGCUGAGCUGCAAGAGGCUCUAUGGCAUUGGCCCGAGAACAGCGACCCAGGCCUGGUUAGUGACUCCCAGCCCUGUAGGUUCUCCCAAACCAAGUAUACUGUACUUCCACAGUUAUGAUUGUCCUCCGUUAGGCUGGGGCCCCAGAUACUGGUACAGACGGCUGCCUGGUUGUACAUGUUGUUAGCUGUGAGGAGGAGUUCCAGCAACAGAAGUUGGACCUGCUUUGGCGGAAGUUGGUUGACAAGGCUCCACUCAGACAGAAGCACCUGAUCUGUGGCCCUGUGAAAGUAGCUGGUGCACCUGGCACUCUGAUGACUGCCCCUGAGUACUACAAGUUCCGACAUGCCCAGGUGUGCAAGGCCUCAGCACUGAAGCAUGGUGGGGAUCUGGCACAAGACCCAGCCUGGACAGAGAUCUUUGGUGUUCUCUCUGUGGCCACCAUCAAGUUUGAGAUGCUGAGCACAGCCCCACGGAGUCAGCUCUUCCUGGCUCUGGCUGACAGCAGUAUCUCCACGAAGGGCACAAAGAGUGGCACCUUUGUCAUGUAUAAUUGUGCCCGUCUUGCCACACUCUUUGAGAGUUACAAGUGUAGUAUGGAACAAGGUCUGUACCCCACUUUUCCUCCUGUGAGCAGUCUGGACUUCUCACUGCUACAUGAUGAGGUGAGUGUCCCUCCCGGUAGUUGGCACAAGGAGGCCUGGACUUCCCCUCCCAGUACCUUUCUCCCCCACAGGGUGAAUGGUUGUUGCUCUUCAACAGUAUCCUCCCCUUUCCGGAUCUGCUAAGCCAGACAGCAGUGCUGGACUGCACAGCCCCGGGGCUCCACAUUGCUGCACGCACAGAGAUGAUAUGCAAGUUCCUGGUACAGCUCAGCAUGGAUUUCAGCUCCUACUACAACCGGGUACACAUCCUGGGGGAGGCUCGACCACACCUCUUUGGUCAGAUGUUCGUCCGCCUGCAGCUUCUGAGGGCUGUGCGUGAGGUGCUCCAUACUGGCCUGGCUAUGCUGGGUCUCCCUCCACUGAGCCACAUCUAAGGCCACAGAGGCUCCAAUACUUGGGAAUGUUCACAAAGUCAUCAACUGGAAAAAAAGCAAAAACCCACGGCCAAAAUAAAUUGGUACUGUUACGAA
RNAcentral lists this small RNA (1959 nucleotides) under Pongo abelii (Sumatran orangutan). RNAcentral describes it as "retained intron". The record is from RNAcentral. Lineage: Eukaryota; Metazoa; Chordata; Mammalia; Primates; Hominidae.